Non-coding RNA from Chlorocebus sabaeus (green monkey), 2665 nucleotides. NCBI's taxonomy places the organism in Eukaryota, Metazoa, Chordata, Mammalia, Primates, Cercopithecidae. The record is from RefSeq and is a predicted model, not a curated record.
AAAAAAAUGUAAGCGGAAUAAUACAGUAUGUAACCUUUAGGAAUUGACUUUUUCCCUCUGCAUCAUUCUCUUGAGAUUCAUCCAAAAAAUAAGAAAUGAAAUAUUACAGAUACAGCUGAAGCCUGCUCCUCCUCCUUGCGCCUCUGUCCUCCUUCCCCAGAAGAUUCUUGUCAGGAGGCACAGGUUACCCAAUGCAAGGGUCCACAGGUACUUUCACCUAAGUUCCUGCCACAGCUCCACAUGAAGCCAAGUGUGAGAAUGAUGCCUGGAAAGUUUAUUAGUGCAGCCACACCACUGGCCCCAGUUUGCACCCUGUGAGACUAUCAUAGCCAACCCAGACAGACGGUGGUAUCAGCAGAAAGGAAGAGCCACACCAAAUCCCUAAGGUUGAAGGGAUUUACUCUCCCAAGUGGUGAUGGGAGAGGAGACAGGUCAUGGAUGAAACUCACCCAAGGCUGAGGGAGACAAGGGAGACUGAAGCCAAACAGCCAAAUCUUUGCAUGCAACAGAUGUCUGAGCCCCACUGCAAAACUCAGUAUUCCUGGGAGCAGGGCCUGCACCUGUCAAUUUUGCAAAUGUUCUCCAGGUAGUUGCAAUGCAACUGCAGGCUGAGACAUGCUCAGUCGUGGUCAGGAAUGAAGGUUUCAGAGUCAUUGGUCCUAGAUUCUUCAAAUUCUGGCUCUGCUGCUUGUCAACAUUAGGAGCCUCAUCGCCUCAUUUAUAAAACAGGGUGAUAAGAAAACCUAACCAAGGCUUGUUUAUGAGAAUCAGGUGAGCUGAUACCGAUAAAAUGCCUAGCACACAGUGAAUAUUCAACAAAUACUUGCUUUUGCCGACAAUGUUGCCACCACUCAAAAAUGGCUCUUAUUUGGGUAGUGAGGAGGAGUAGCCCAAGACACAUACAAAUGAGUUUUAGGGACAACUCUGCACAUCAUCAAGCCACACAAUUAUAAGGAGGCUGCUGACACUGUCUGCAGAGAGAACAGAGCAAAUAUGAGCCCAAAGUAUAACAGGAGUAUGUCCGCCUUAACCUGUGGGAUGAAUAAACCCAGAAGGAUUGUAGGAUAGGGAAGCUACGCUAUGGCACAUAGCUGACUUUGGGGCCACUUUCCCACACUUUUUGUUUUAAAAGACUUCAGACUUAUGGAAGAUUAGAAAGAAUAGCACAACGAACAGCAUACAAGCUUCAUCUACAUUCAACAACUGUUAAUAUUUUAUGAUAUUUGCUUCAUCUCUCUCUAUAAGUACAUAUUAUAUAUAUAGAUAUAUAUGCACACACACAGCAUAUAAAAGCUGCAUAUACUAUAAUAGCAGGUAUUUCUCCAAAAUCAAAGAAUCCUCUUAAUAACCACCACACCAGUUUCAUACUUAAGAAAUUUAAUAUUAAUGCAAUAAUAUGACAUAACAUGCAAUCAUAUUCAAACUGACACAGUGGUCCCAAUAAUGUUCUUUAUAGCUUUUUAAAAAAACCUAAGGGCCUAUCAAGGAUCACAUGCUGCAUUUGGUGGUUGUGUCUCUUUCAUUUUUUAGCUGUUCUUAGAAACUUAUUCUCCACUUCGCAACCUCUAGGUGGUAUCCAAUUUGUAUUUGCUCUCCCUAGAGACCCCAGUGCCACCUGCCCCCCAUUCCCCACAAGCCCCUCUGACUGGGCCCAGACACAGUCUGUAAUGACAGGAAAUGAAGCUGCAGAGCAGGUCUUCAACACAGAGCUUGUCAUCAGAUGCAUGGCUGAGUGGUAAAGCCACUUCCUUCCUCCUGACACGGCCAGAAACUUCAAGCCCUAUUUGCAACAUAGCAGUGUGAAAUCUCUGGCAGGUGCAGAUGGCACGGCUGCAAGUGCCAGAACUCUAUGUGGGCUCUUAAGGGGAGGAAGACACUUCCAUCCCACUGGGCAGGAAACUCACAGUAGUUGCAUUACAGUCCGGCCUGUACCUUUGCAUCCAGAGGAAACUGUGAGGCUUUGUUGGGGCAAAGACUGUGGCAGCAAAAGGAAGAAUUUGCCAGAGCCAGUUACAACAAAGGAGGAUGUGAUCUCGGGAACUUUGCACCACACCUCUCUCCAUUCUGGCACCUACAACUUGAUAUUCCUCUUGGAUUCAUAACAGCAUAGUUAAUGACCUAUAUCCAAAAGAUGGCUGGACCUACAGACUGAAGAUUCACAGCCAUCCAAAACCAUCAGCAAAGCUUUCAGUUCCUAGGGGAAAUGCAAACCUGGGCUCAUACAGUGCUCCCUCUUAGUCUAACUUGCUAUAAAUUUUACCUGAACAAUGGAAGAGCUAUUUGCAGAGUCUCUGGAGGAACAUAUUCCAACCACAAAUAUUAAUGAUAAUGAACCUGGAAAGACCAGCUUAAUAAAAUAGCUGAAAAUGAACUUACACAUCAUUAGCAUUAUGAGCUCCCAAAUCUUCAUCUCUGAACAGCUGGACUCUCUGAGUAGAGGAUGGACGGGAACCCGCUAGAUCUCCAGAGCAGUGCCUCCAGCAGACCCUCUGACUGGCUAUGUUCUGGCUUUUGAUAUACGUUAUCUAUUCUCUUCUAAAGCCAGAAUUACUACAGACUAAGGGUGGAUAUUUUGUCUCCCCUCUUGGUCUUUGAAAAAUUAGAAUUAUCUCCAAUUUACUUUUGAUAUGGGGUAAAAUAUUUACACUCUUUUGAUGUUAGAAAA